CAUAAGCCGGGAUCCCGUAAGUGUCCCUCCAGACCCCGCCAGGUUGCCGAUGGAUAUCCAACUCUUCAAGUGAACAUCACUGGAAGUCCAGAGUAAGGAAAGUUUCAACGAUCUCUUCGUGGACAUAAUGACGCCUCUACGUUUCGCUGUUGUCUUCGUCCUCCUCUUUGGUGUAUUUGUCGCCAGUGAAGCUGCACCUGAAGGACACGAGCUUGAACGUCGUGACGUUGACAUGGAGGUCUGCCCUUGUGUUCCGGGUAUUACAUGCCCUAAUAACGUCCUUUGCACAAAGUACAGCGAGUGUAAGACAUGCUUCCUUCUCGGUGGAUGAAAAACAUGGCUGACCGGCAACCCUUAACAACGAAACGAUCAAUUGCACGUAUAUGAAAUAAGAGUCCAUGGCAUUCUCUUUCACCAACAUAAUCAUGGGUGGGGGGAACUUUUGAGGGCAAUAAAUUGUACUAAGCAGCA
Ornithodoros turicata is the source of this 471-nucleotide long non-coding RNA. RefSeq lists it as uncharacterized. The record is from RefSeq and is a predicted model, not a curated record. The transcript is spliced from 4 exons. Lineage: Eukaryota; Metazoa; Arthropoda; Arachnida; Ixodida; Argasidae.